AUGGGGAGUUUGCACAAGGCCACCUUUGUUCUCCUUAUGCUCUGCAUGUCAGCAUUGGGGAGAGCAGAAUAUCUCAAGUACAAGGACCCGAAGCAGCCCGUUGGCGCCCGCGUCAAGGAUCUGCUCGGCCGGAUGACCCUCACGGAGAAGAUAGGCCAGAUGACGCAGAUCGAGAGGAUAAACGCCACUGCGGAGGUGAUAUCAAAAUACUUCAUAGGUAGCGUCCUGAGUAGCGGCGGUAGCCCGCCUUUUCCCCGAGCGUCUGCUAAGGAUUGGGCUUCAAUGGUGGAUGAAAUGCAAAAGGCCGCCCUCUCCACCCGCCUAGGCAUUCCUAUGAUCUACGGCAUUGACGCUGUGCAUGGUCACAAUAACGUCUACAAAGCUACCAUCUUCCCUCAUAACGUUGGUCUCGGAGCUACUAGGGACCCUAUGCUGGUCAAGAGGAUAGGAGAAGCAACUGCUCUUGAAGUUAGAGCUACCGGGAUUCCAUACGUCUUUGCUCCAUGUAUCGCGGUUUGUAGAGACCCAAGAUGGGGACGCUGCUAUGAAAGCUAUAGUGAAGACCCAUAUGUUGUCCGGUCAAUGACCACAAUCAUCUCUGGCUUGCAAGGUGAUGUUCCCUCAGGUUCCGAGGGAAGACCAUAUGUUGGUGGAAGUAAGAAAGUUGCCGCAUGCGCAAAGCACUAUGUUGGUGAUGGUGGCACGUUUAUGGGGAUCAACGAGGGCAAUACAAUCAUCGACAACCAUGGGAUGAUGACUAUCCAUAUGCCUGCUUACUACAAUUCUAUCAUCAGGGGCGUAUCCACUAUUAUGGUCUCGUUCAAUAGUUGGAAUGGAACAAAAAUGCACGCCAACCAUUACCUAAUCACAGAUUUUCUCAAGAACAAGCUCAAAUUUCGGGGUUUAGUGAUUUCAGACUGGCAAGGCAUUGAUAAGAUUACUACUCCCCCACACCUGAACUAUUCCUAUUCAAUUGAGGCCGGAGUUGGUGCUGGUAUUGACAUGAUCAUGGUUCCUUUUGCCUACACAGAAUUCAUUGAUGGUUUGACAUCCCAAGUUGAGAAAAACAUUAUCCCCAUGAGCAGAAUCGAUGAUGCUGUCUACAGGAUUCUUCGGGUCAAGUUUACCAUGGGUCUAUUUGAGAACCCUUAUGCUGAUCGAAGCCUUGCUGGUGAACUCGGGAAGCAAGAACACCGAGAACUCGCUAGGGAAGCCGUCAGGAAAUCACUGGUGUUGCUGAAAAAUGGAAAAUCCGCCUCCACUCCAUUGUUGCCUCUCCCAAAGAAGGCCGGUAAGAUCCUCGUCGCCGGGAGCCAUGCUGACAACUUGGGCAACCAAUGUGGAGGAUGGACAAUCGAAUGGCAAGGAGAUACCAGCAAUGACAAAACUGUUGGGACGACGAUCCUUUCGGCGAUCAAGUCCACCGUGGACCCCAACACGCAGGUAGUCUUCUCAGAGAACCCGGACAGCGCCGCAGUGGGGAGCAGCAAGUACGACUACGCUAUCGUGGUGGUGGGUGAGCCACCCUAUGCCGAGUCGUUUGGCGACAACUUGAACUUGACGAUCCCCACCCCCGGCCCUGUGGUGAUCCAGACUAUCUGCAAGAGGAUCAAGUGUGUUGUGGUGCUCAUCUCCGGCAGGCCGCUAGUGGUGGAGCCGUAUGUUAGUGCCAUGGACGCAUUGGUCGCCGCCUGGCUGCCCGGCACGGAGGGCCAGGGUGUCACCGAUGUGCUCUUCGGCAAUUAUGGGUUCUCCGGGAAGCUGGCGAGGACGUGGUUCAAGUCGGUGGACCAGCUGCCGAUGAACGUCGGGGACAAGCACUAUGACCCAUUGUUCCCGUUUGGGUUUGGCCUCACCACGGAGGCGAAAAAUUGA
Molecule: ribosomal RNA, 1875 nt
Filed under: Triticum aestivum (bread wheat)
Lineage: Eukaryota; Viridiplantae; Streptophyta; Magnoliopsida; Poales; Poaceae
Description: partial small subunit ribosomal RNA
Source: RNAcentral